AGAGUUUGAUCCUGGCUCAGGACGAACGCUGGCGGCGUGCCUAACACAUGCAAGUCGAACGGAGAUGUAAUUUCGGUUAUAUCUUAGUGGCGAACGGGUGAGUAACGCGUGAGCAACCCGACUCUUAGAGGGGGAUAACACCCGGAAACGAGUGCUAAUACCGCAUAAGACCACGACAUGGCAUCAUGACGAGGUCAAAGGAGCAAUCCGCUGAGAGAGGGGCUCGCGUCCCAUUAGAUAGAUGGCGGGGUAACGGCCCACCAUGUCAACGAUGGGUAGCCGAGCUGAGAGGCUGAUCGGCCACAC
RNAcentral lists this ribosomal RNA (306 nucleotides) under uncultured bacterium. RNAcentral describes it as "bacterial SSU rRNA". It matches the Rfam family "Bacterial small subunit ribosomal RNA", at positions 8 to 313 of the family's 1533-position model. The record is from RNAcentral.